CCUACGGGGGGCAGCAGUGGGGAAUAUUGGACAAUGGGGGCAACCCUGAUCCAGCCAUGCCGCGUGUGUGAAGAAGGCCCUCGGGUUGUAAAGCACUUUCAGUGAGGAAGAACGCCUGGUGGUUAAUACCCAUCAGGAAAGACAUCACUCACAGAAGAAGCACCGGCUAACUCCGUGCCAGCAGCCGCGGUAAUACGGAGGGUGCGAGCGUUAAUCGGAAUUACUGGGCGUAAAGCGCGCGUAGGUGGCUUGAUAAGCCGGUUGUGAAAGCCCCGGGCUCAACCUGGGAACGGCAUCCGGAACUGUCAAGCUAGAGUGCAGGAGAGGAAGGUAUAAUUCCCGGUGUAGCGGUGAAAUGCGUAGAGAUCGGGAGGAAUACCAGUGGCGAAGGCGGCCUUCUGGACUGACACUGACACUGAGGUGCGAAAGCGUGGGUAGCAAACAGGAUUAGAACCCGGGUAGUC
Molecule: ribosomal RNA, 464 nt
Filed under: Vreelandella stevensii
Lineage: Bacteria; Pseudomonadati; Pseudomonadota; Gammaproteobacteria; Oceanospirillales; Halomonadaceae
Description: partial 16S ribosomal RNA
Rfam family: Bacterial small subunit ribosomal RNA
Source: RNAcentral